This 478-nucleotide ribosomal RNA is filed under the name uncultured bacterium. Its description in RNAcentral is "partial 16S ribosomal RNA". It matches the Rfam family "Bacterial small subunit ribosomal RNA", at positions 28 to 523 of the family's 1533-position model. The record is from RNAcentral.
GACGAACGCUGCCGGCGUGCUUAACACAUGCAAGUCGACCGGUAAGGCCCUUCGGGGUACACGAGUUGCGAACGGGUGAGUAACACGUGGGUGAUCUGCCCUGCACUUCGGGACAAGCCUGGGGAACUGGGUCUAAUACCGGAUAGGACCACUGCCUGAAUGGGUGGUGUUGGAAAGCUUUUGCGGGGUGGGGUGGGCCCGCGGCCUAGAGGGUUAUUGGUGGGGUGGUGGCACCCCAAGGCGACGACGGGUAGCCGGCCUGAGAGGGUGACCGGCCACGAUGGGACUGAGAUACGGCCCAGACUCCUACGGGAGGCAGCAGUGGGGAAUAUUGCACAAUGGGCGCAAGGCUGAUGCAGCGACGCCGCGUGAGGGAUGACGGCCUUCGGGUUGUAAACCUCUUUCAGCACCGACGAAGCGCAAGUGACGGUAGGUGCAGAAGAAGGACCGGCCAACUACGUGCCAGCCGCCGCCGUAA